CCUUCGAUAGCUCAGUUGGUAGAGCGGAGGACUGUAGAGCAACAACACUGUUAUCCUUAGGUCGCUGGUUCGAAUCCGGCUCGAAGGA
This 88-nucleotide transfer RNA is filed under the name Danionella translucida. It matches the Rfam family "tRNA". Rfam says of the family: Transfer RNA (tRNA) molecules are approximately 80 nucleotides in length. Lineage: Eukaryota; Metazoa; Chordata; Actinopteri; Cypriniformes; Danionidae. The record is from Rfam by way of RNAcentral. RNAcentral also lists the same sequence under 1 other name.